Non-coding RNA from Trichonephila clavipes, 73 nucleotides. Lineage: Eukaryota; Metazoa; Arthropoda; Arachnida; Araneae; Nephilidae. The record is from the annotation of a GenBank genome assembly.
GGUUCCGUAGUGUAGUGGUUAUCAUGUUCCCCUUCACUCGCGAAUGGUCUUCGAUUCGAUCCCGACGAGACCA